This 475-nucleotide long non-coding RNA is filed under the name Capsicum annuum. RNAcentral describes it as "long non-coding RNA (CANN_LNC013220)". The record is from RNAcentral. Lineage: Eukaryota; Viridiplantae; Streptophyta; Magnoliopsida; Solanales; Solanaceae.
GAUUGGUGGAUUGAGUAUUGAAAUUGGUUAAUCGACCGAAAAUGAAAUUCGGGGCAGGAAUUUGAAAUUAACAAGAGUGAAUAUUGAUUAAUUUGAUUCGUUGAUGAUGGUUAUCUGAUUUGAAACGAACAUUGAUUAUGUCUUUGAGCCCAAUAGUGUCACGUUUUUAGAUCAUUAAAUGGGUAGGCAAAUUGAAGAAAUGAAAGAUGGUGAUUUGUUGAAUGUGUGAAUGUUUGUUGAAUGGUUCUUUUUAUUUUUACGCACAAAAUUGAGAAAAUGUAUUCAUUUGAUUGGGGAAUACCCCGAGGAUUCAUGUACUUAUUCACCGGAGAAUGCCCCGACGUAUUAUGUUUUCGAGGGAGGUUCGUGAUCAAGGCCCAAGGCACCGGGUGGAGCGUAGUUAGGAUUAGCGUAGGCUAGCAUAGGUUUACAUUUCAGUAUUUUUAUUUUGGAUUUGUAAUAAAUUGGACUGAAC